RNAcentral lists this ribosomal RNA (572 nucleotides) under Aspergillus oryzae. RNAcentral describes it as "eukaryotic LSU rRNA". The stretch from base 188 to 341 matches the Rfam family "5.8S ribosomal RNA". The record is from RNAcentral. Lineage: Eukaryota; Fungi; Ascomycota; Eurotiomycetes; Eurotiales; Aspergillaceae.
GCGGCCUUCGAGUUAGGGCUCUAGCGAGCCCAACCUCCCACCCGUGUUUACUGUACCUUAGUUGCUUCGGCGGGCCCGCCAUUCAUGGCCGCCGGGGGCUCUCAGCCCCGGGCCCGCGCCCGCCGGAGACACCACGAACUCUGUCUGAUCUAGUGAAGUCUGAGUUGAUUGUAUCGCAAUCAGUUAAAACUUUCAACAAUGGAUCUCUUGGUUCCGGCAUCGAUGAAGAACGCAGCGAAAUGCGAUAACUAGUGUGAAUUGCAGAAUUCCGUGAAUCAUCGAGUCUUUGAACGCACAUUGCGCCCCCUGGUAUUCCGGGGGGCAUGCCUGUCCGAGCGUCAUUGCUGCCCAUCAAGCACGGCUUGUGUGUUGGGUCGUCGUCCCCUCUCCGGGGGGGACGGGCCCCAAAGGCAGCGGCGGCACCGCGUCCGAUCCUCGAGCGUAUGGGGCUUUGUCACCCGCUCUGUAGGCCCGGCCGGCGCUUGCCGAACGCAAAUCAAUCUUUUUCCAGGUUGACCUCGGAUCAGGUAGGGAUACCCGCUGAACUUAAGCAUAUCAAUAAGGCGGAGGAA